GUCCCCGUCCACAGACAAACAUUGUUGUUGGAGUUGUGUCUUUAAGUUCAACUAUUGUGGAGCUUGAUAUGAUGAAGCUUCUGGAAUUUUUACACUCAUCUCCGUCCACGCAUCACCCGUUCACGUAUCAUCCAUCCACGCAUCACCCGUCCACGUAGCAUCCGUCCACGCAUCGAAUGUCUAUUAAGGACAAAGUUGUCCACAAUUUAUUGCUGGCCCACAACAAAGUGUUUCACAUGUAGGAAGUGACUCUGAGUGUAAAGAAAAGUCAAAAAGUGGCCUAGAGAGUAAUCAACUCUUAAAAUUGUGACUUAUAAAGCUUUAUCAUUUAGUGCAAUCACUAUAUAAUCUACCUCUUCACAUCCAAUUUUUCCGAGGAGAAGAAGAACUACGACGUAGAAUCUAUAUUUCCCCGGUCAUGCCAAUGUCAUCAACUCUGGAUCAAGGUGGCUCUCAUCUCUCCCCCUC
Molecule: long non-coding RNA, 468 nt
Filed under: Brassica napus (rape)
Lineage: Eukaryota; Viridiplantae; Streptophyta; Magnoliopsida; Brassicales; Brassicaceae
Description: long non-coding RNA (BNAP_LNC022811)
Source: RNAcentral